UACGUAGGUGGCAAGCGUUGUCCGGAUUUACUGGGCGUAAAGAGCGCGCAGGCGGUCGUGCAAGUCGCGUGUGAAAGCCCCCGGCUCAACUGGGGAGGGUCACGCGAUACUGUUCGACUCGAAGGCAGGAGAGGGAAGCGGAAUUCCCGGUGUAGUGGUGGAAUGCGUAGAUAUCGGGAGGAACACCAGUGGCGAAGGCGGCUACCUGGCCCAUUCUUGACGCCGAGGCGCGAAAGCUAGGGGAGCGAACGGG
RNAcentral lists this ribosomal RNA (253 nucleotides) under uncultured bacterium. RNAcentral describes it as "partial 16S ribosomal RNA". It matches the Rfam family "Bacterial small subunit ribosomal RNA", at positions 524 to 776 of the family's 1533-position model. The record is from RNAcentral.